GACGACAAAGCAGAUGAAAUGUAGUCUUCAUCUUCACCACAGUGCCAUAGUUGAGAAGGAUACUUGAAGCAAAUUGGAGGAUAAAAUUUGCACCCCCGAUUCUCAGACUGAGGACUGAGAGGAUUCUAAUUCAGUACUGGGGAGAGAUAACUAUAGAUGAAAAUGCAAGCAGUGUCAGAUGAUAUUAUUUGACUGGAUUUCCUUGAACAUAGCACCACUAUCAACUCAGAGUGUAACUGGAACUGGAAGAGGAAGACUUUAUUGGUCAACAGUUCACUUAUUUAAAUUGCAUAAGAAGAAUUUUGAUUUUACAAAUAUAAAUGAGGAAACUGA
Pantherophis guttatus is the source of this 333-nucleotide non-coding RNA. Lineage: Eukaryota; Metazoa; Chordata; Lepidosauria; Squamata; Colubridae. The record is from RefSeq and is a predicted model, not a curated record.